Molecule: ribosomal RNA, 253 nt
Filed under: uncultured bacterium
Lineage: Bacteria
Description: partial 16S ribosomal RNA
Rfam family: Bacterial small subunit ribosomal RNA
Source: RNAcentral
UACAGAGGUCUCAAGCGUUGUUCGGAUUCAUUGGGCGUAAAGGGCGCGUAGGCGGCCAUUCAAGUCGGAGGUGAAAGCCCAGGGCUCAACCCUGGAAUUGCCUUCGAUACUGUCUGGCUAGAGACCGGAAGAGGUAAGUGGAACUGCGAGUGUAGAGGUGAAAUUCGUAGAUAUUCGCAAGAACACCAGUGGCGAAGGCGGCUUACUGGUCCGGUUCUGACGCUGAGGCGCGAAAGCGUGGGGAGCAAACAGG